This 230-nucleotide ribosomal RNA is filed under the name uncultured bacterium. Its description in RNAcentral is "partial 16S ribosomal RNA". It matches the Rfam family "Bacterial small subunit ribosomal RNA", at positions 561 to 790 of the family's 1533-position model. The record is from RNAcentral.
UAAAGCGUGCGUAGGCGGAAAUGUAAGUCAGAAGUGAAAGCCCAGGGCUCAACCCUGGAACUGCUUUUGAGACUGCAAUUCUAGAAUUCGGUAGAGGCUAGUGGAAUGUCCAGUGUAGAGGUGAAAUUCGCAGAUAUUGGACGGAACACCAGUGGCGAAGGCGACUAGCUGGGCCGAUAUUGACGCUGAGGUACGAAAGCGUGGGUAGCAAACAGGAUUAGAUACCCUGU